This is a long non-coding RNA of Canis lupus familiaris (dog), 2535 nucleotides long. RefSeq lists it as uncharacterized. The record is from RefSeq and is a predicted model, not a curated record. Lineage: Eukaryota; Metazoa; Chordata; Mammalia; Carnivora; Canidae. The transcript has 2 exons.
UUCCUUUCUCCUUACAGGAAUGAAGUCAGAGGGCCAGACAGAACUCACAGAAAAUGCUCCAUCCCUGGAGAAAAAUCAAGACACUGAAAUUUCAGGUGUGCGAGCCAGUGAUUCAGCCCUUCGUGCAACCCCCGGUGCUCCUCAGACCAGCACACUCACUCCUUGAUCGUGCGUGAGUCAUUCAGAAACGGAUGGAAAUGCUCAAUCUCAAAUGCUGCUUCCUGAAUGAAAACACGCCACUGACCCACGUCACCCCGGGGAGCGGGCACCCGUGACCGUGAUCGCCUGGCGGGAUGUGAGCAGCCUGACUGCUUCUCGCCGCUGACAGCGUGUGACCGGAGGACAGGGCCCACCCGCGCUCUCCCCUCUACCGAGAGCCUCUCUGGCUUCGUCCACCGCCUCCUCACGUGGCCCAGCUCACGUCUCUUCCAGGAGGUUUGCUCUGAGCAAGCUCACAAUUCUGCUUCUCCAUUGUGGGAAACCCUGCUGGGCCCUGCACUGACCCCCGCCGUGCCCGCUGGGGUGGUUGUGAGUUGCUGCGUGAAUCAGCGACCCGAAAGCUCCCCGCACCAAACCUACACCAAACCUGCACCAAAUCUGCACCAUGCUGGCUGCUCAGAAAUGACGACCAGGGGGAUUUGGUUUGAAAAUAACACAGAACACGAAGCAAAAUAAAAGGGAAAAAUGUAAGAUUUUUUUUUUUUUUUCGAGAAAUCUUCCAUUUUAAAACAGCAGGGUUUUCCUGGACAUAAACCACAGUAAGCAUCUAGCAGGUGUCAGGGUGGUGCCCGGCACAGUCCUGAACACUUGGUGUGUGCAGCUCCUUUAUCCCCACAGUCACACAAGGAGGUGACUGUGGUGUCAUCCCUGACAGACAGGGAAACCAGGCACCAGGGUUUGGGAAGUCACCCUAGUUCCCACAGUGAGAGAGGGAGAUGUGGGGCUUGGCUCCGAUCAUGUAACCACCCUGUGCCCCCUGCUCCCUGACACUAUGCACAGACUUGGGGCGUCGGGAGGUCCCCUUCUCAAGGCCCAAGGUCCAGCAUGGCCAUGUGGCUGAAGCCUCCCCGGGGGUCCCCUGGUUUUGGAGCUCCCUGCCCAGCCCAGCACCAGGACGCAGCCCCGGGAUGGGCCAACCCAGGUCACCAACAGGCCUUUCUCUUACGCUGACUCUUCCUGGGGGUCCCGAUUCAUUUCUCUCUCUGACUCCUCCGACCUCCGGGGAGCUCCUCAUCUUUAACGUGCUAAGGAAAUCAGAUUCUGUAUUGUUUUGUUGUCUAAUCAAAGUCUACUUUGAUUACAUUUUGUUCCCUUUGGAAGAACAGAGCAGCAUCCACCCCAGAAAGGCAGGCAGAGGGCCACUGGAGCGGGUGCCAGGCCCAUGUCCGGCCUGAUGCAGGAGCAGCACCCUGGGCCGCAGUCAUGGGCAGGAGGAGUCCCAGGCCUCUCACCCCAGUGAGCCCCCCAUCGGCCUCCAGCCCUGCCACUGUCUAGUGCCAUCACCUGCACACUCCCUGGCCACACAGGGGUCACUUGGACGCCACAUGCCUCAGUGAACCUCCAAGACACAUCAGGCACCAGGAGUUUUCUCCACAUUCCAGGUACUGACCAGAUAGGGCCCUCGGGCCCUUUGCAGAGAGUCUACCACGAUAGCAAUAUUGCAGGUCAUCAAUUGAAAGAAGAUUCUCACUGAAAACCAAUGCAGCCAUUGGAAGGGACCUUCCGACUCCGCCCAGGAUGAGGAACAGAGAGAGAUUUACUAAGGACCUGGGACUUCUGGCCCUGGGGGUGCCUCUGCCCCAGGAUCCCCCAGAGCUGCCCCAGCCAUCAGCUCCUCCCCCACAGAGGACCAGGGGACAGUCGCCACCUGUGACAGGGCACCCAAAGGACAGUGACACAUAAGGGGGACUAGCUGCCUGCUUCUCUGCGCCUCGCUGGGUAAACAGCAGGACUUCAGGGAGGACCGUCCAGUCCCUAAGAGGAGAGGCCACUGGGCAAGAGCACAAGGUUAACAUGAUGAAACAAAAUAUCUAUCACCAAACACAGAGAGGCUCCUUUUUCACAGCCGGGUUCUUGGGCCCUGCUGGGAGGCUUUCCACAGUCACCUUAUCCCUCUCCUUCUGGCGCUCAGGCAUUUCUUCUGGAAAAUGACUGAGCUUGAACCUCAAAUGUGGCUCUGGCUGCAAGUGGCCGAGUUGUCUGGCAAGAGCAGUACUGUAUGCUGAGUGCUUACAGCUGCACUGUGGAAUACCAGCCACGGUGGGACCACACCUGCCAGGGCCUGACCACUCCUGUCAGCGCUCUGCGUGUGCCAGCUGGCCUAAUUCUCACAACGGCGCAUCCCUCUCUAACAACUGAGGAAACAGGGGCACAGAGAUGUUAUGCAACUCACCCAAGGCCACACAGCCAGGAGAUGCAUGAGAGACAUCUAUAAGCACAAGCCAUAACUUAGAACCAUGUCUCCCCUUCUUUGUAAUAAAUUCUGAGCGCUGAGCACUGCAGGGUGGGGAUAUUAAUAAAAUGCAUUUGUUUCUA